GGGGAACGUGAGGAGAAAGGUCAGGAAGAACCAGCCUCAAGAUACCAUGGAGCUUUUAUAAAAGAGCAAGUACCUCAAGAACCAGGGAAUUCCAGACUACAAUCAUGAUGCAGCUGCUCAUCUCAUCAUCUGUAAAGGGGAGAUUCCACAUAUAUUUCUAAAGCAGUUCUACAAGAGAGUUGUGUUUGGGUGCAACAAACUUCACUGUCUAAGCCUUCCAUGUUCCCAGACCCUUGAAUAUUCCAUAAAACGUUGGUGUCUGAAAACAGUUGCUACGACUGUCAACUGAAAUUGUUCUUCAACCAACACCUUGUCUUUAUGGCCACAUUGCUAAAAGCAACCUGUCAGCAGCACAUCAGGAGCAGCUGCAGUGUCUACAUUGGUUCCAAUCACUUAUGUGAUUGUUGUGCACUCAAAAGCAUAAAAGUGUUUGUUACACUGCACAAACCUAACACACGAAAUCGAUCUGGGAGGAUUUAGGAGCCUUUUCUGGCACAGUCCGUAGAGACCCAAGUCUGUCUUGUUAUAAGACUGAGUAUACAGUUAAACCUGUCUCAUAUUUGUUAUUAUUAUAUUAAACUUAAUUCCUUCACUUGUUUAAGUUACCUCCCCUACAUCAUUCACUCCUUAGUUUCCUUGUAGGUAUAUGUGCAAGUUAAGGAAAAGCAUACCAAAAGAAGAUGACUUUGUGACACUUAAGCUGUGUCCACACAGGAAAUGAUUUACAGUGGUGCAGCAAACAAAUAUUACCAAUAAAAAUGCAGUAGAAUGGUGAUUAAUAUAUAACAGGGUAGUAAAUACGUUAGAGAAUUGCCUAGGCAACCAGAGGCUGGAAUUGUUACAGACCAAUUGUCAGCUUCAAAUGUGAUGCCCGACAAGCAAAUCACUUCCUGUGUGGAAGCACCUUGAUGCAUGGUAAGUACUGAGUACUGCUGUGCAAAGAUUUCAGAUAUGCAACCCCCCACAGAUCUUUGUUCUUGUCUAAUUUCAAUCUUUUUAAUAUGGUAAUAGUUCACAGAAAAAGGAAAAUUAUUUUAAAAAAGAAAGCCGGACAUUUGGUGGGGUGUAAGCAUUUUUGAUGGCAUGGUCGCUCAAGUCUAUGUGUUUGUGCGUGCGCUUGUAACAGAAAUUUUAGAUUGAAUUCAUAUUUUGGCAGUGUGCCAUUUGUAGCCUUGCAUCUGUGAUCAUGCUAGCAAAAUUAGAAUACAAAGCUAGGUACACACUGUGCAGAUUUUAUUAAUCUUGUGUCCAUUAACUAACAUUACAUUCCUGCAUAGCCAGAAAUGGUCCCUUCACACAAUAUGGAUGGUCAUGUGCAAUUCAUGGUAGUGUUUUACUCCCUGCAGUUCCAAAGCUGAAAUUGUGCUGCUGUUUUUAAAGGUUAAUUUAAAUUGUGAUUAUCUGUGGGGCAUUACUGACAUUUGUACCAUAUCUUUUUUUUCUUUUAAUUGAUUUUGUUGACAGUAUGCCUCCAAUUACAUGUCUCAGGUCUUACAGUGAUAAUUUUUGUCGGUAUUAAAAGAAUAUGUAUAUAUUAAA
Long non-coding RNA from Astatotilapia calliptera (eastern happy), 1539 nucleotides. NCBI's taxonomy places the organism in Eukaryota, Metazoa, Chordata, Actinopteri, Cichliformes, Cichlidae. The record is from Ensembl.